CCUACGGGGUGCUGCAGUCGAGAAUCAUUCACAAUGGGGGAAACCCUGAUGGUGCGACGCCGCGUGGGGGAAUGAAGGUCUUCGGAUUGUAAACCCCUGUCAUGUGGGAGCAAAUUAAAAAGAUAGUACCACACGAGGAAGAGACGGCUAACUCUGUGCCAGCAGCCGCGGUAAUACAGAGGUCUCAAGCGUUGUUCGGAAUCACUGGGCGUAAAGCGUGCGUAGGCGGGGAUGCAAGUUGGGUGUCAAAACUACCGGCUCAACUGGUAGUCGCACUCAAAACUGCAGCUCUUGAGUGAAGUAGAGGCAGGCGGAAUUCCUAGUGUAGCGGUGAAAUGCGUAGAUAUCACACAGAACACCGAUUGCGAAGGCAUCUCACGAAGCCGCGAUUGACGCUGAUGCACGAAAGCGUGGGUAUCAAACAGGAUUAGAUACCCGAGUAGUC
This 445-nucleotide ribosomal RNA is filed under the name uncultured bacterium. Its description in RNAcentral is "partial 16S ribosomal RNA". It matches the Rfam family "Bacterial small subunit ribosomal RNA", at positions 338 to 795 of the family's 1533-position model. The record is from RNAcentral.